ACUAUUUUGUCAGAUUAUUGUAAUAAAUUCAGAAUUUAUUUAAGGUUGUAGAGCACCUGAGGCAUUUAAUA
This 71-nucleotide transfer RNA is filed under the name Leptocimbex sp. RNAcentral describes it as "tRNA-Leu". Lineage: Eukaryota; Metazoa; Arthropoda; Insecta; Hymenoptera; Cimbicidae. The record is from RNAcentral.